AAGAAUUUAGUUAAAAAAUAACGUUAACUUGUCAAGUUAGAAUUAUUAAAAGUUAUGUUAAUAAUUUUUA
Molecule: transfer RNA, 70 nt
Filed under: Byctiscus populi
Lineage: Eukaryota; Metazoa; Arthropoda; Insecta; Coleoptera; Attelabidae
Description: tRNA-Asp
Source: RNAcentral